AGGACGAACGCUGGCGGCGCGCUUAACACAUGCAAGUCGAGCGAGAACCAGUCCUUCGGGACUGGGGACAGCGGCGAACGGGUGAGUAACACGUGGGUAAUCUGCCCUCGAUUCUGGGAUAGCCCGGGGAAACCCGGAUUAAUACCGGAUAGCCUCCCGAGCUUACGAGCUCGUGAGAAAAGGUAGCUUCGGCCUCCGAUCGAGGAUGAGCCCGCGGCGGAUUAGCUUGUUGGUGGGGUAAUGGCCUACCAAGGCAACGAUCCGUAGCUGGUCUGAGAGGACGAUCAGCCACACUGGGACUGAGACACGGCCCAGACUCCUACGGGAGGCAGCAGUGGGGAAUCUUGCGCAAUGGGCGAAAGCCUGACGCAGCGACGCCGCGUGGGGGAAGAAGGGCCUUCGGGUUGUAAACCUCUUUCAGCAGGACGAAGCCACUCGGUAAUAGCCCAGAGGUGACGGUACCUGCAGAAGAAGCCCGGCUAACUACGUGCCAGCCAGCCGCGGUAAU
Molecule: ribosomal RNA, 508 nt
Filed under: uncultured soil bacterium
Lineage: Bacteria
Description: bacterial SSU rRNA
Rfam family: Bacterial small subunit ribosomal RNA
Source: RNAcentral